This is a long non-coding RNA of Acromyrmex echinatior (Panamanian leafcutter ant), 863 nucleotides long. Lineage: Eukaryota; Metazoa; Arthropoda; Insecta; Hymenoptera; Formicidae. The record is from RefSeq and is a predicted model, not a curated record.
GAUGCUGUGUGUAAUUAGCGAUUAACGCGCGUUAUUAACAGUGCAAACAGUCCGCCGUCGGCGAGUCGGCGCGCCAUAUGGGGGACUUAGCAAGCCGCAGUAAUGGGCGGAUACCGCGGUACAGAUAUCGCCGAUACGUUUUGCCGCAUACGAAACGUGCAUUUUCAUUCUACACGGGUCACCGUGCUCGGAUUUCGCCGCUUACGAAGCACUAACAUUCGGAUAUACGUAGGAUACACGCAUAGAAACUUACGCACGAAGUGCGUCGUUCGCGGUAAUUAAAUCCUCCAGGAAUCCGGCGUGAUUUUAUCAGUGGCGCGUGGUAGGCAGAAUAUUUUUACGACGCACCGUUUCUGAAGAGGAUUUUCCAUUUGAUGAUAAUAACCGAUCCCGAUCGGUGACAGGAGCGGCGAACCAAAGAUUAGCGGACAGCUCCCAUUCGAGGAAAGAGAAACGAAGUGGCAGGCGAGAGAGGAUAAUAACAUCUUUGACAAAUUUUUUUCGGCGAACGCUCAAAGUAAUCCGGAUAUCCGGAUAAAGUAGAACUUCUUUCGAAUUCUUCUCCGUGUGUCUCGGUCACAGCCGGGCGUCGACUUUCGAGGACAAGGAAGAAAAUGGUAAGGGAGAAACACACGUAAGAUUCAGCAGAACAGAGGAGCGCGUUAGUCGCGUGAUACGUAGAUCGAGUGACUCAGAGAUUCCUGGAGCCGGACUGACAAGCGAAAUGGGUCAGGCACGGUGCACUUAAUAAAGAUCAACGUAAUUUCAGCAUAGUCUACAACUCCGCUGUUGCACAUCGUAUCGAUGAGUGAUAAAUCAAUUUUUAUAUUCAGUAUUUUAAAAUGGAUAGGCUAGAACAGAUU